RNAcentral lists this ribosomal RNA (349 nucleotides) under Strobilurus ohshimae. RNAcentral's name for it is "eukaryotic LSU rRNA". The stretch from base 1 to 105 matches the Rfam family "5.8S ribosomal RNA", at positions 50 to 154 of the family's 154-position model. Lineage: Eukaryota; Fungi; Basidiomycota; Agaricomycetes; Agaricales; Physalacriaceae. The record is from RNAcentral.
GAAAUGCGAUAAGUAAUGUGAAUUGCAGAAUUCAGUGAAUCAUCGAAUCUUUGAACGCACCUUGCACUCCUUGGUAUUCCGAGGAGUAUGCCUGUUUGAGUGUCAUUAAAUUCUCAAACCUCAAGAAUUCUUUUUUUGAGGCUUUGGAUAGGUGAGGGUUUUGCCGGUCCUUUAUGGAUCUGCUCCCUUGAAAUGCAUUAGUGGGUUACUUGGUCCGCUUUCAAUCGGUGUGAUAGUUAUCUACGCCUUUGGAAUGAUCAGCUUGCUUAUCUGCUUCUAACCAUAGUCUGCUUCAGACAACUUUUGACUUUUGACCUCAAAUCAGGGUAGGACUACCCGCUGAACUUAA